AAACUUUCAACAACGGACCUCUUGGUUC
RNAcentral lists this ribosomal RNA (28 nucleotides) under uncultured Candida. Its description in RNAcentral is "partial 5.8S ribosomal RNA". The record is from RNAcentral. Lineage: Eukaryota; Fungi; Ascomycota; Saccharomycetes; Saccharomycetales.